GGGGAAUAUUGGACAAUGGGCGGAAGCCUGAUCCAGCCAUGCCGCGUGUGUGAAGAAGGCCUUUUGGUUGUAAAGCACUUUAAGCGAGGAGGAGGCUACCGAGAUUAAUACUCUUGGAUAGUGGACGUUACUCGCAGAAUAAGCACCGGCUAACUCUGUGCCAGCAGCCGCGGUAAUACAGAGGGUGCGAGCGUUAAUCGGAUUUACUGGGCGUAAAGCGUGCGUAGGCGGCUUUUUAAGUCGGAUGUGAAAUCCCUGAGCUUAACUUAGGAAUUGCAUUCGAUACUGGGAAGCUAGAGUAUGGGAGAGGAUGGUAGAAUUCCAGGUGUAGCGGUGAAAUGCGUAGAGAUCUGGAGGAAUACCGAUGGCGAAGGCAGCCAUCUGGCCUAAGACUGACGCUGAGGUACGAAAGCAUGGGGAGCAAAC
This 426-nucleotide ribosomal RNA is filed under the name uncultured bacterium. RNAcentral's name for it is "bacterial SSU rRNA". It matches the Rfam family "Bacterial small subunit ribosomal RNA", at positions 356 to 773 of the family's 1533-position model. The record is from RNAcentral.